UGCUAUGGCGUACACUGACACCAGGGGGCAGAUGCUUAAUGCAGUAGCUGCCCCCUGGUGGUCAGUGCGCUCCCACAGCCA
This is a non-coding RNA of Eptesicus fuscus (big brown bat), 81 nucleotides long. The record is from RefSeq and is marked provisional. NCBI's taxonomy places the organism in Eukaryota, Metazoa, Chordata, Mammalia, Chiroptera, Vespertilionidae.